GACGAACGCUGGCGGCGUGCCUGACACAUGCAAGUCGGACGGUUCUUGCACCUUCAAGCUUGCUUGUUGGUUCAAGGAUAGUGGCGGACGGGUGAGUAACGCGUGAACACCUACCCAUUGGAGGGGUACAACCCGUCGAAAGGCGGGCUAAUACCGCGUAAGCCGUGAGGUGAAAGGCUGCUCUUUGGUGGCUGCCGAUGGAUGGGUUCGCGUCCUAUCAGCUGGUUGGUGGGGUAACGGCCUACCAAGGCUAAGACGGGUAGCCGGUCUGAGAGGAUGGCCGGCCACACUGGAACUGAGACACGGUCCAGACUCCUACGGGAGGCAGCAGUGGGGAAUCUUGGGCAAUGGGGGAGACCCUGACCCAGCGACGCCGCGUGAGGGAUGAAGGUUUUCGGAUCGUAAACCUCUGUUGUACGGGAAGAAGGAUGUGACGGUACCGUACGAGUAAGCCCCGGCAAACUACGUG
This 469-nucleotide ribosomal RNA is filed under the name uncultured bacterium. RNAcentral describes it as "bacterial SSU rRNA". It matches the Rfam family "Bacterial small subunit ribosomal RNA", at positions 28 to 507 of the family's 1533-position model. The record is from RNAcentral.